UUGAGGAUGAGAGGGUGAGAGCUUCUAAGGGUGAGAAAGCUCUUCCCAUGGCCUAAGAAUUAGCCUCUUUUAAUGAGGAGAGUGAGGGGUCAUUUUAUAGAAUAAGAGCUCCUCACUUAUUACAUAUUUGCCCCUUUAUUUAUUACAUAAUUACAUUUGAGUCCCCCGAGUAUUUAUACGAGAUCUAAAUACGGAGGCCCUAAGUAUGGUACAAACAUGCUCAUAUGCCAAGUGUAAUGUCUUAUCAACCUUUCAUUUUCAAUUGCUCAUAUGCUUUGUAAUUGCCAUGUGUCAUAGUCACAGUGACUAAUGUAUUUGAAGGUCAUGAUGACUAAUGUAAGAGGAUGAAUGGGGCAUGAAUGAAGUGUGCGCAUUAUGCAACAGUUAGAAUGUUGCAGCUGUGAUUAUUCCUUUGUCAACUAUCUCUCUCUCUCUCUCUUUUAGCUUUCUUCUUUGUUUUGCCCCUAAACUCCAAAACCAUUGCUGAAAUGCUUUGAGCUAUUCAAAUUUUAACAUGGUAUUGAGAGCUCAGGUUCUAUAUGGGAUCGAGGCGUCAAAUUUGUGAUCGUUGUGCUUGAAAUCCAACUUGAACCUUUCAACUCAACUCUUCCAACUCAGUUCUCAAAUGAUUGGAUUGAGUGUAGUGAUCUCAAGGCUCCAAUAUUCAACGGUGACAACUAUGAAUUUUGGAAGAUUCGUAUGAGAACCAUCUUUAAAUCUCAUGGGAUCUGGGAUUUAGUGGAAAAAGCACUUGAAAUUUCAAAAUCGAAGGGCAAGAAGGUAAAAGCCAAAGGUUAUACUGCUGUGGAGAAAUCUUCUCUUAGUGAUAAGCAAAUGAAUUAUGAAAAUUCUUUGGGUAUUAUCUAUGGAGUUAUUACAAAAGACAUUUUCCUAGAAUCUCGAAUGAGGAGGCCUCAAAGGGUGCUUGGGAUAUUUUACAUAAAGAAUUUCAUGGCGAUAAACAAGUAAGAUCCAUUUAGCUGCAACGUGUAUAUCGUGAUUUUGAGUUCACAAGGAUGAAGGAUGAUGAAACUUUGUCUGUGAUAGGAGCAUAUUUAUGCGACUUAGUUAGCUUGUUUUCUUGCAUUUUCAUAGCUAGUUUCUACUUAUUAUAAUGUUUUAAGUUAUUUUCGUGUGUUUGUAGGUCCAAAUGACAAAGUUGGCAAGAAAGUACAUUUUGAAGCAUUUUAGAGCAGUUUUGGGCAUCAAAUGGAUAGCUUAUGAGUGGAGCAAGAUGGAUGGACGAAUUUGAAGACCAAAGAUAUCAAGGAAUGUACUAAAGAGUUAAAGAAAUAAAUCCAAGACAAAGAUGAUAAGGAAUCAGCUUAAAAGAAUGAACAUUAUCCAAAACCUUAUCCAACCUUAUCUUAUCUUAUCCAUUCCUAAUCUAGCCUUAUCUUAUCUUAUCUUAUUCAAAUCAGUUUGUGCCUUAAUUCUAGCCAUUUAUAAGGGAUAAUUAUGCAUUUAAAAUACAUAUUUCAAAUUCUAGAACCUGUAUCCCUUAUGUGCCGCAUAUAUGCCCUCUCCUUGGUGAUUUAGGAAUUGUAAUCCUUCUCUGAACCCAUGUCAUGUAUCCUUGUCCCUUUAGGUUCAGAAAUUUGUGCUGAAGCAUCUUUCUAGAAGCUUUAAAACCUACCGCACCUUUCUAGCCUAAUUCCCCUUGGUUUCUGAUUGUUUUAACCCAUUCCACUUGGGUUUUGGUUACACAAUCUUAUUCCUACUCAGCCUUAUGCCGUGCCUAGCCUAUAAAUACAUCAUUCUGCCGCACAAAUCAGACCACCACCCUCUACCAUAUAACUAUACACCACGCACCCAUAUAUUUAGAUAUAAUUGAGAGAGUUCAAAGGUGUGCUUGCAAGGAAGGAAGGAAGGAGCUUUGUGCCGUGGCUUGCAAUCCAAGGAGGGUUCGCAAUUUUCCAUUGGAGUUGCUGGGACGUUCCUGGUUCUUUCUAUCCUUAGAUUUGUUUCAAUGUUUGUUUUAAUUUGGUUUUAUGUUUUCAAAGACAUGAGGAACUAAUUUCUUUUUAGUUGGAGGUGAAUUCGAAGCCAUGAUUAUAUGCUUUAUAUGAAUUGAUUACAUUCAGUUAUUGUUUCUUGAGUCUUGAAUGUGAUUUGCUUAUCUGAGUUAUUAAAACUUGUUUAUGUAUGUUGAUUGAGGAUGCAUACUGAGUUUGCAUGCAUGAACUUGAUGCUAGAGUAUAAGGGAGUUUCACGUAAUUGUUAUGAACUUAUAUUCACAAGUAGUAAAAGUCACUAGUCAUGAUUGUGUUAAGUAAAUCCUAAGCAGGAGUAUCAUGCUUUUCAUAGUUAUGAAUGCAUCGUCAAUGCUUAUGGUUUUCAAAGAACUUAAUGACCUUUGAUAUGUCUUUCUAUCAUACUUUUCAUAGUUAGGGAAUUUGAUAAGGAUAAUUUGGUUGUGAUGCGUAUUCCAUCUAAUUCAAGGAAUUAAGGAAAAUCUAAUGGUUAAUUUAUGCUAUCACGGUU
Molecule: long non-coding RNA, 2484 nt
Filed under: Malus domestica (apple)
Lineage: Eukaryota; Viridiplantae; Streptophyta; Magnoliopsida; Rosales; Rosaceae
Description: long non-coding RNA (MDOM_LNC013939)
Source: RNAcentral